Molecule: long non-coding RNA, 699 nt
Organism: Oncorhynchus tshawytscha (Chinook salmon)
Lineage: Eukaryota; Metazoa; Chordata; Actinopteri; Salmoniformes; Salmonidae
Source: Ensembl
CUCUAACGUGUGAGAUGGGAGGUAGGGGUAAAGAGGUCCUCAGUGGCCAGUCUCUAUCGUGUGUGAGGGAGGAGUAAACUGGUCCUCAGUGGCCAGUCUCUAUCGUGUGGGAGGGAGGAGUAAACUGGUCCUCAGGGGCCAGUCUCUAUCGUGUGAGAUGGGAGGGAGGGGUAAAGUAGUCCUCAGUAGCCAGUCUCUAUCGUGUGGGAGGGAGGGGUAAAGUAGUCCUCAGUGGCCAGUCUCUAUCGUGUGUGAGGGAGGAGUAAACUGGUCCUCAGUGGCCAGUCUCUAUCGUGUGGGAGGGAGGAGUAAACUGGUCCUCAGGGGCCAGUCUCUAUCGUGUGAGAUGGGAGGGAGGGGUAAAGUAGUCCUCAGUAGCCAGUCUCUAUCGUGUGGGAGGGAGGGGUAAAGUAGUCCUCAGGGGCCAGUCUCUAUCGUGUGGGAGGGAGGGGUAAAGUAGUCCUCAGUGGCCAGUCUCUAUUGUGUGGGAGGGAGGGGUAAAGAGGUCCUCAGUGGCCAGUCUCUAUCGUGUGGGAGGGAGGGGUAAAGUAGUCCUCAGUGGCCGGUGUCUAUCGUGUGGGAGGGAGGGGUAUAGUGGUCCUCAGUGGCCAGUCUCUAUCGUGUGAGAUGGGAGGGAAGGGUAAAGUGGUCCUCAGUGGCCAGUCUCUAACGUGUGAGAUGGGAGGUAGGGGUAAAGAG